RNAcentral lists this microRNA precursor (161 nucleotides) under Selaginella moellendorffii. Its description in RNAcentral is "miR1095a stem-loop (smo-MIR1095a)". The record is from miRBase by way of RNAcentral. Lineage: Eukaryota; Viridiplantae; Streptophyta; Lycopodiopsida; Selaginellales; Selaginellaceae.
UGUCUUGUGUUUGGGAAUAAAGGAACCUAGGAGGGCCGGGUUUGCGAACUUCCUGGGUGGUGAUAUGCUCCGCUGAGCUCGAGCAGUGUAAUUAUCACUUGCUUGCACCGCCGGAAGAAAUGUGAUCCUAGGUUCCCUUGUUUCCAAAUUCAAGGCCGGUG